RNAcentral lists this transfer RNA (74 nucleotides) under Listeria monocytogenes. RNAcentral describes it as "tRNA-Arg". It matches the Rfam family "tRNA". Rfam says of the family: Transfer RNA (tRNA) molecules are approximately 80 nucleotides in length. Their secondary structure includes four short double-helical elements and three loops (D, anti-codon, and T loops). Lineage: Bacteria; Bacillati; Bacillota; Bacilli; Caryophanales; Listeriaceae. The record is from RNAcentral.
GCGCCCAUAGCUCAACUGGAUAGAGUACUUGACUACGAAUCGAGCGGUUAGAGGUUCGACUCCUCUUGGGCGCA